RNAcentral lists this ribosomal RNA (495 nucleotides) under uncultured bacterium. RNAcentral's name for it is "partial 16S ribosomal RNA". It matches the Rfam family "Bacterial small subunit ribosomal RNA", at positions 28 to 507 of the family's 1533-position model. The record is from RNAcentral.
GACGAACGCUGGCGGCGUGCCUAAUACAUGCAAGUCGAACGCUGAAGUAGGAGCUUUCUCUUCUGGAUGAUUUGCGAACGGGUGAGUAACGCGUAUGUAACCUGCCUCUUAACGGGUGAGAACAAUUGGAAACGAUAGCUAAUACCGCAGAACAGUAGAUGUUACAUGACAUUUACUUAUAAGGGGCAAUUUCAUCACUACCAGAUGGUCCUCCGGUGUAUUAGCUAGUUGGUGGGGUAACGGCUCACCACGGCGACGAUACGGAGCCGACCUGGGAGGGGGAUCCGGCAAACCGGGACUGAGAACAGGGCCCGGCCUCCACGGGAGGGCGGCGUAGGGAAUCUUCGGCAAUGGACGGAAAGCUGGCCGAGCAACGCCGCCGGAGUGAAGAAGGUUUUCGGAUCGUAAAGCUCUGUUGUAAGGGAAGAAAGAGUGUGAGAGUGGAAAGUUCACACUGUGACGGUAUCUGACCAGAAAGGGACGGCUAACUACGUG